UCACCCCUCAAGCCUCCGGCUUGGUGUUGGAUGGUUUGGUGACAGCGCCCUCUGGGCAGCGGUCACCCCUCCCAAAGACAAUGACGGCGGCCUCGUUGGACCCCCGGUACACUGAGUUCCUCACCGAACACGUACUGGAUCAAGGGCCCGCGGAGCACGGUCUGCCUCCCCUCAGGGAGAACUUUUAUCUCAA
RNAcentral lists this unclassified non-coding RNA (193 nucleotides) under uncultured Minimelanolocus. RNAcentral describes it as "sequence contains ITS2". Lineage: Eukaryota; Fungi; Ascomycota; Eurotiomycetes; Chaetothyriales; Herpotrichiellaceae. The record is from RNAcentral.